UACGCAGUCUAGCGAUGUCUGGUGCGUGUGUUGUGCCGCAGUUUUUUGGUUCGGAGCCUUGCGCGUUCUUCACGUUGUUUCUGGUUAGUGCGGUACGAAGGCCAUGCUGGUGAAGGAGAUUGGAGCUUACAAUGACCCUUGCCGUACUAUAGAUGUCGAGUGUAAUGGUUUCCCUUUCUUGCGUCGUGUGAUAGUGUGCACGCGUGACUUGGGUUCAGUGUGCGGUUUUGAAGAAACUGGGCAGCCCUACUGCCAUUAGAGAUUUGAGCGCCGGCCGAGACCACCACUGCUGAUACGACGACGCGACUAUAAAUAGUUGCCUUAGUGGACCACAUGAACUAGUGAAGCUCAUGUUGGUGGAAGCGAGUUAAUCGAAGCCACUGCGCAUGCGCAGCCACUGAACCAAUAGAGGAGUGGUGCCUGCCACGUGAUGCCCAAACGUCGAUAUAAAGGGAAGCGUGGGCAACAUGAAUCAACGACAACCGGCCAGAAACGUGACAAAGACUUGGUGCAACUUUUGGCUUUGAAGGUUGCAAAGGACAACAGAUGGCCCCCGUGAUGACUUCCGUGGUUGCCCUCCUAGCUCUGCUCUUAGUGCUGGACUGCAGUUUCGCGAAGGCGCUCAGCGGGGACGCGUUACGCUCUUCGGAC
This is a long non-coding RNA of Ornithodoros turicata, 651 nucleotides long. RefSeq lists it as uncharacterized. The transcript is spliced from 3 exons. Lineage: Eukaryota; Metazoa; Arthropoda; Arachnida; Ixodida; Argasidae. The record is from RefSeq and is a predicted model, not a curated record.